GCCGGAAUAGCUCAAGUUGGUAGAGCAGG
This 29-nucleotide transfer RNA is filed under the name Leptoscyphus hexagonus. Its description in RNAcentral is "partial tRNA-Phe". The record is from RNAcentral. Lineage: Eukaryota; Viridiplantae; Streptophyta; Jungermanniopsida; Jungermanniales; Lophocoleaceae.